AACACAAGAUCAAUAAAAAUAGUAGGCACCUUAGAUUUAAGAACAUGAGAUACCUAAGAUCUCUUCAACAUAUUUUGUCAGGAAGUUGUUAAUCGACUCACAUAACCAAGUGCUUGAAGCUCUGCACUAUGAUACUUAAGUCUUAAGAAGCGAUAAAACUUUUGUAACUAGAUGAGGGCAUCAGUCUUAAUUUUUUUUUUUAUAUUCGACUCUGACAAAAUUAUGGCCUGUCCAAGUCUGGUUCUCUAACCAAUGGGAUUAAUACUCCAUGAUGUUCUUCCUAUAAGCACAGGAUUAGGAAUGAUAUCAUUUUCAAAGUGGAGGGGCAGAUUUUCGUGAGGGCUCAUAAUCUUUCCUUACACCAAAAUCUCUUCUCAUAACUAUUGUUUUUAUUGAGUCUAAGUUUGCUCACUGACCAAAGAAGCAGUACAAUAAAGGAAGAGAAGAAGACUUGUGGUGAGUGUGUGGAAGUGUUGAUGUGUCAAGGUAAUAUUUCUAUUCUAUUCCCAGAUCAGCAAAUCAAGCAACUUCUGGCUUUUUGUACAUUAAGGAACAAUUCCAAUUCUGGCGUGUCCCUGUAGUAUAUGAUCCUUUCUUUCUUUUUACAUAUGGUAUUUGACACUUUAUGACAUUGUGCAUAACCAGCAAUCAAUAGGGUUAUAACCCCAGAAUUCCAAAUACAAUUUUCUGAAUUGAGAAGCAAAAUAAAAAAGGUGUUGCACAACCAAAUGUUAAACGGCUAAGGUAACAUUUUUCGGGAAAAAAUUAAACACAUGUAGUUAUCAAUAUUGUAAAUACAGGCUGAUAUAUCACUUCAACAAACACCUUAUGAAGUUGCACAAGUUAAGGGUUUUAAUUAAUAACUCCGCAAAACCUUCAAAAGGAUAAUAUGAGCUAAGUUCAAUGACCAUAUUCUGUAAUAACUGGCACAAUACUCGAGACCAGGAAGGGAGACUAGCUUAAAUUAAGAAGGAAACCCAUCACCCAUCUUAGCAUUUACACUAAUAGAAGCACCCACAUUUGUGAUUUAUCAAGUGCAUAAUAAAAUAAUAGAAGAAAACAAGUUAAAAAAGAAAGUGCAUAAUAAACCGACAUUUAUGAUUUAUCAAGUGCAUAAUAAAAUAAUAGAAGAAAACAAGUUAAAAAAGAAAGUGCAUAAUAAACCGACAUUUAUGAUUUAUCAAGUGCAUAAUAAAAUAAUAGAAGAAAACAAGUUAAAAAAGAAAGUGCAUAAUAAACCCACAUUUAUGAUUUAUCAAGUGCAUAAUAAAAUAAUAGAAGAAAACAAGUUAAUGUUAAAAAUAAAAAAUAAAAAAAAGCUUGAAAAAAAGUGGAAGACGAUGGAAAAAGUACCAAUGCACGGCGGUGGUAUGCUCGACGACGCUGGUAAUGCAAAGGAAUGUUGGAGCCAAAUAUGUAUUGUUUAUAUAACACUAGGAAUGUUGGUGUCCCAUUUGACAAAUAGGUCUGCUUGUAUAAGACAAAAUAGCAUUUUACAUGGCGUGUAUAUCCGAUUAUUGAUAGUGUUUGCUGCACACUGAUCCCAACAUUAUUAUUUAAUUCUCAUGCUUUUUGUCUUCUUAAUUUAAUAGUACUAUACUUAGUAAGUUAUUGUACAAUGUGAUAUACCUGGAUUAGUGAUACCAUUUUAAUAAUAAUAGUAUUAUUUAGUGAAUAUACUUUAUGGCAGAUUUUUGGACUAAAAACUGGUAAAGUUGUUGACAUGUGACCAGGAGGUCAUGAGUUCAAGCCGUGGAAACAGCCUCUUGCAGGGUAAGGCUGCGUACAAUAGACCUUUGUGGUCUGACCCUUUCCCAGACCCCGUGCAUAGCGGGAGCUCAGUGCAUGGGGCUGCCCUUUUUAUAUUAAAAGCUGGAUAUUGUGUAUAAUGUAAAACAUGUGUUACGUUUUUCGUACUAAAUAAGUAGGGUUAAACUUUUGUUUUAAUUAUAAUUAAGCUUUUAAGAGCAUUAGAGAAUAGUAUUUUAGUCAUUUUGGUGUUUAAUUCCGUGAUUGUUAUCCUGCAUUGAAGAUGGUAUAAAAAUAAUAAUCGUACCACAAUUGUGGUAUAACUAAUCCCUAUUUUAAAUCAAAAGUUCAACAAAACGCAGGAUACAAUAAUUUCACAUUUUAUCUCGAGAUUGUUAUCACUUAUCCUACAAAUUACACUACAAGAAAAGGUUUACUAGCGACCAAAAUUUAGUGACGGGUGAUAAAUCUCAUCCCUAAAAGUGUACGUAUAAGGACGAUAUUGAUUCCGGUCCCUAAUUCUCUAUUUUGCCUUUUAAUUAGUGAAGGGACUAAAUCCGGCCACUAAAAUAAUUGAAUUCUGGUCCUUAAUACUGUUAUUGAGCGUCACGCUAUUUAUCUUUGCCUUAAAAAUAUGAAAUAAACAAAAAUGAAUAUUCUAAAAUUAAAAAGAUAACAACUCUGUAAUUAGAACUCAGCUCUCUCAAAACUCCGUCUCCUUCUCAAAGCCUUAAAAACCCUAAACCCAUCUCUUAAAACCCGUAAGAUCCCUAAAAUCAUUAUCUCUCAAGAUUUCGUUCUUCCGAUUUCUUCUAAUAUUGUUGGAGAGAUAUGGGUAGCCGUUGGACUGAGUAUGGAUGUUCUUCCUACUGCAUAGAUGUUGCCGAAUAUUGCGUUGUUCCUAAAUCUGGUACAGGUUUGUGGGCUGAUUUUGGAUCUAGCUAGAGGGCUUGAACUCCAGAAAUAUUUUGGGAUUCCUCAGUAAACUUUGUCCAGUGAAAUAAAUUUCUUCUCAUUAUUGGCAACGAGGUACAAGGUGAAGGACCAAGUACAUUCAAAUAGCAAGAAGUUGAACACAAAGUGCAAAAAUUUCCCACCUUAUUGAAGAUAUGAAAAAUAUCGUCAACAAUAAUUUUUCCACUAGCAGAAAUUUGCUUCCUUAGAGGCUGUACAGAGUUUAACAACUGCACCCAAGAGUUUGUUGCAGUUGUGCACUGUUUUAGACACUGCUGUAGAGAUGCAAUCUCCAUUGAGUUCAACGGCUUGACGUACUCAGUUUUAACAAAAGUUGAUAUUAAUACCAAGUGAAGUUGUCAGCGCGUAUUGGAUGCAGAAAUAAAGAUUUGUUGAAUAUGAAAUCAAGACAGUUUCAUGGUAGAAAAAAAGAUUUGGCUGAAGGGGAUCAAACCACAACAACACGGGCCUCUUACAUCAGACAUUACAAAAGUUGUCCAAUUCUUUUUCCUUGCUGCUACAGAACUGAGUUAUUCCUUUACAGUUAGUUGUCGGUUGAUCUAAUUUUUGCCUUCAAAGUGAUUUUUCCAACUUAUAUUAGUUGAAUUACUCAUUGGAGUGUAUUAGACAGACUGGUAUCGCGAGAAUAUUUAGAUGGUUAUACUAUAUAAAGUCUAAAUUCAGAAAUAUGUAGGAGGUAAGGUAUAUGUCCCCCUCCUUGUAUUUGACAUGUUAAUGAAAUCUACAUUAAGGUCUCGAUGAUUAACCUUGAUGUGCAUAUAUGAAAGCUUGAUGUUACUGAUAA
Long non-coding RNA from Nicotiana tabacum (common tobacco), 3508 nucleotides. RefSeq lists it as uncharacterized. NCBI's taxonomy places the organism in Eukaryota, Viridiplantae, Streptophyta, Magnoliopsida, Solanales, Solanaceae. The record is from RefSeq and is a predicted model, not a curated record.